CCAGCACCCCGAGUGGUCGGGACGAUUAUUGGGCCUAAAGCAUCCGUAGCCGGUCUUGCAAGUCUUCCGUUAAAUCCAGCUGCUUAACAGAUGGGCUGCGGAGGAUACUACAAGGCUAGGAGGCGGGAGAGGCAAGCGGCACUCAGUGGGUAGGGGUAAAAUCCUCUGAUCCAUUGAAGACCACCAGUGGCGAAGGCGGCUUGCCAGAACGCGCUCGACGGUGAGGGAUGAAAGCUGGGGGAGCAAACCGGAUUAGAUACCCGGGUAGUCCCAGCUGUAAACGAUGCAGACUCGGUGAUGGGCCGGCUUUAUGCCGGCUCAGUGCCGCAGGGAAGCCGUUAAGUCUGCCGCCUGGGGAGUACGGUCGCAAGACUG
Molecule: ribosomal RNA, 375 nt
Filed under: uncultured organism
Description: bacterial SSU rRNA
Rfam family: Archaeal small subunit ribosomal RNA
Source: RNAcentral